UGGUAAAUCAGAAAAACGAAGUAUUGAC
Molecule: small RNA, 28 nt
Filed under: Bombyx mori (domestic silkworm)
Lineage: Eukaryota; Metazoa; Arthropoda; Insecta; Lepidoptera; Bombycidae
Description: ovarian small RNA-35064
Source: RNAcentral